This 530-nucleotide ribosomal RNA is filed under the name uncultured Methanosaeta sp. RNAcentral's name for it is "bacterial SSU rRNA". It matches the Rfam family "Archaeal small subunit ribosomal RNA", at positions 321 to 848 of the family's 1478-position model. Lineage: Archaea; Methanobacteriati; Methanobacteriota; Methanomicrobia; Methanotrichales; Methanotrichaceae. The record is from RNAcentral.
CCCGACGGGUGCAGCAGGCGCGAAAACUUUACAAUGCGGGCAACCGCGAUAAGGGGACCUCGAGUGCUGGGUUACAAACCUGGCUUUUGGGUUGCCUAAAAAGCAGUCUAUAGCAAGGGCCGGGCAAGACCGGUGCCAGCCGCCGCGGUAAACACCGGCGGCUCGAGUGGUAACCGCUAUUAUUGGGUCUAAAGGGUCUGUAGCCGGCCGACUAAGUCUCUUGGGAAAUCUGGCAUCUCAAGUGUCAGGCUGCCAGGGGAUACUGGUCGGCUUGGGACCGGGAGAGGUGAGAGGUACCUCCGGGGGUAGGGGUGAAAUCUUGUAAUCCUCGAGGGACCACCAGUGGCGAAGGCGUCUCACCAGAACGGAUCCGACGGCAAGGGACGAAAGCUAGGGGCACGAACCGGAUUAGAUACCCGGGUAGUCCUAGCCGUAAACGAUACUCGACUAGGUGUCGGCCACGGUGCGACCGUGGUCGGUGCCGUAGGGAAGCCGUGAAGCGAGCCACCUUGGGAAGUACGGCCGCAAGG